UUUCCUUGAACUCCGAUCCCAACCUCCUCGUGGUGCUAGCUGGAAUAUGAUCGCUGUACAUCAUGGAUAGCGAUUGUAUACUAAUAGGGACGG
Molecule: non-coding RNA, 93 nt
Organism: Anopheles sinensis
Lineage: Eukaryota; Metazoa; Arthropoda; Insecta; Diptera; Culicidae
Rfam family: drz-agam-1 ribozyme
Source: Rfam